Equus quagga is the source of this 281-nucleotide long non-coding RNA. RefSeq lists it as uncharacterized. Lineage: Eukaryota; Metazoa; Chordata; Mammalia; Perissodactyla; Equidae. The transcript has 4 exons. The record is from RefSeq and is a predicted model, not a curated record.
CUUCAGCCUUUUCCACUUUGUUCUGUGCCUCGGCAGUUGGACAACUUCGUCAGGCUCCCUUACCCCCUGGUUCGAGAUGGUCCUGGAUGCUCUGGUCAUCUUACCGCAAGUCUGUGGAACUUUCAGAUGACUCUUCUUCAAAUGCUUUAAUGGGCCACUUUUUGAAAGCACUAUUGACCACCUCUUUGAUGUGGAGUUUGCUGCAGGCAGAAUCAGUGGAAUGUGUGUGACCUUCACCAUCUUGUUGAAUGAUUGCCCAUCGGAAAAUACAAAAAGUGAAG